GAUAAACGCUGGCGGCGUGCCUAAAACAUGCAAGUCGAACGGCUCACUUCGGUGGGUAGUGGCGAACGGCUGAGUAACACGUGGGUGACCUGCCUUCGAACGGGGGAUAACUGCCCGAAA
RNAcentral lists this ribosomal RNA (120 nucleotides) under uncultured bacterium. RNAcentral's name for it is "partial 16S ribosomal RNA". It matches the Rfam family "Bacterial small subunit ribosomal RNA", at positions 28 to 156 of the family's 1533-position model. The record is from RNAcentral.